This 1292-nucleotide long non-coding RNA is filed under the name Oryzias sinensis (Chinese medaka). RNAcentral's name for it is "lncRNA (ENSOSIG00000005866.1)". Lineage: Eukaryota; Metazoa; Chordata; Actinopteri; Beloniformes; Adrianichthyidae. The record is from RNAcentral.
CGAGUGACGGCGGGGGAGGGGCGGGGCUUGUCCGCAGCAGUAAAGGUCCAGAGCACAGAUGUGGAGGUCACUUUUACUUUUAAUUUGAAUUUUGAUAUACCUGCCUGAUUAUGCAGGAGCGUGUUUUCAUUCCUGAUUCAGACAGAUCCGCCUGCGAGCUGCAUCCGUUCCUGCGCGUUUGACGCGAAAAAGAAAGCAAAAAAAAAAAAAAAAAAACGGGUUGCAGAUGAACGUUAGGAGGAGAAAGUGAGAUGAUGGCGGCGGAUGCGGAGGAGACGGGAGGGCGGACGGACCCGUGUGCUCCUCCCGGCAUCAGUCUGAGGCGGAGGGGCUCGGACAGGAGGUGGAGGCUGCGCUCUGUGUAUCUGCAGUGCUGUCUUCCUGUAACGAUAGCCCAUGCUGGCAUGAUGCCCUUCCUCAUCUCCUUCCUUGUUGGUUUCUGUGUUCAGGCCUUACUCAUCUACCUGUUUGUGGAGCUUCUACAGAAAUGUCAGGCAAUGCAGCUGGAGUCUCUAAAGACCGGAGUGGCAGAGUGCAUCAUGAUGAGUCCAGUGAACAUCCAGAGCCCAACCUUCACAGACGAUGAGGAAGAGGAGGAAGAUGAAGCAGACAACGCAGCAGCAGAUACAGGUCUGCUGCAGCCGCACACUCUCACACUGCAGGAGCAGGCGGAAAACCUUCAGCCCAACCUAUAUCUCCUGGGGUGCCUCUUCCUGUCUCCGCCCAUGAGCUGCGCCUUCAGCUGCAUUCUCCUCUUCCAGUUCGUUUCAAUUGGAGUUAGUUAUGUGUUAGCCGGCAGUGAGGCGUGUGCAGCACUUCUAAAUGUCAGCCACGUGUACGUGAUCCCAGCCUUCACCUGGAUUCUCACACUUGCUAUCUUGCUGGCACACUCGAUUAUUCAGCCGGUCACCUCCGUGCUCACCUUCCUCAAGGGAAUUCUGCUCAUCAUCACGGUAAUCGCUCUUUUUUAAUAGAAUAUAAUGUUGAGUUUCUUUAUUUUUGUUUUUACUUUAGGAAAAUGACUCAUUUUGUUUUUGUACAAAGAGGUCUAGCAUAGCAGAGAAGAGCUUUGGAUUUGUUCAGGACAUGGGAGAAUUUAGACAGUGCCAUACUUGUGACAGAGGAGUUCAAGAUGAAGGUGUAUGGAGAGAAAUUAGACUCAGUCGGAUUUGUGUGUGCGUAAUUCUUGAUUUGUGCGUAAAUUAAGAUUUGUGUAUGCAUAUUCUUGCUUUGUGCGUGCGUAAAUUAGAAUUUGUGCAUAAAUUUGGAUUUGUGCGUGAUUUGUUACUCAC